AGGAUGAACGCUGGCGGCGUGCUUAACACAUGCAAGUCGAACGAUGAAGCCGGGAGCUUGCUCCUGGUGGAUUAGUGGCGAACGGGUGAGUAACACGUGAGUAACCUGCCCCAGACUCUGGGAUAAGCACUGGAAACGGUGUCUAAUACCGGAUACGAGCUUCCACCGCAUGGUGAGGAGCUGGAAGGAAUUUCGGUCUGGGAUGGACUCGCGGCCUAUCAGCUUGUUGGUGAGGUAAUGGCUCACCAAGGCGACGACGGGUAGCCGGCCUGAGAGGGUGACCGGCCACACUGGGACUGAGACACGGCCCAGACUCCUACGGGAGGCAGCAGUGGGGAAUAUUGCACAAUGGGCGCAAGCCUGAUGCAGCAACGCCGCGUGAGGACGAAGGCCUUCGGUGUAACUCUUUAGUAGGAGAGCGAGGUGUUAUUCACUUCAUGACGGUACUGACAGAAAAGCACCGACUAACUACGUACCAGCAGACCG
This 486-nucleotide ribosomal RNA is filed under the name uncultured soil bacterium. Its description in RNAcentral is "bacterial SSU rRNA". It matches the Rfam family "Bacterial small subunit ribosomal RNA", at positions 26 to 517 of the family's 1533-position model. The record is from RNAcentral.